AUACGGAGGGUGCAAACGUUGUUCGGAAUCACUGGGCGUAAAGGGCGCGCAGGCGGUUUGAUUAGUCAGAUGUGAAAGCCCACGGCUUAACCGUGGAAGUGCAUUUGAAACUGUCAGACUUGAGUACCAGAGGGGGUAGUGGAAUUCCCGGUGUAGAGGUGAAAUUCGUAGAUAUCGGGAGGAAUACCGGUGGCGAAGGCGACUUUCUGGCUGAAUACUGACGCUGAGGCGCGAAAGCGUGGGGAGCAAACAGGAUUAGAUACCCCGGUAGUCC
This 274-nucleotide ribosomal RNA is filed under the name uncultured bacterium. RNAcentral describes it as "partial 16S ribosomal RNA". It matches the Rfam family "Bacterial small subunit ribosomal RNA", at positions 523 to 796 of the family's 1533-position model. The record is from RNAcentral.